GUGACCAUACAUGAAGGAUCCAACAACUUAUGAUCAUCUUCCUCCUCCUUAAGAACAAGUUAAUUCAACAACUUUUUCAUUCAACCUCAGAUCUCUAGUUAUCUUGUAAGUUGUUUAUACAGAUUCUACAACAAGGAUGAGGUUUAUUAGGAUACUUAGAGCAAACCUUCAGUGGCGUCUUGUUGAACGGCACGCGUUCAAAUCAGCUAUCAACAUGACAUGUUUUUGAGCUUUAGAAAGAUAAAUUAAAACCGGAAAGGGAAUAAUAAAUGCUCAUGUGGGCCAACCAAAGUUACACCCUUUGAUGCCCAUGCAUGUGAACACCCUUCAAAUGUGCUUUGCUCCAAUGGAGCUCUUCCCAAGCGACGUUUCACGUGUGUCAAGAGCACCCUACUGCAACGGACUAACUAAAGGUUCAUUAGGAUCAUCGCUCGAGACGUUGGGCGUGGCCAAAGAGGCUAGCAAACAGUGGAAACAUAAAAGGAAACAAAUUGGAGAGAAUAAAUGUGCUAUUAUUGGUGGUGAUAUGAUGGUUUUAUUGCCUAGGGUACAUGUGUGUUACUACUUUUUGGUAAAAUGAAUCUGGUGUUAGAGCAUCAAUGUUUAGUGUAUAUAAGGAAUGAAUAAGCUAUCACUAUAGCAGUGGGUUUUAGUUUGGUAAGGGAAUCGAGGAUGUGCCAUGUUGAAUUUAAAUGGUGAGUAAUUUUGGAUUGUAGGUGGAUAUAUGCAGUUCAUUCAGUUACUGAAAAAAGGUGCCACAACGGAGAAGAAUAUCAUUGUACUUAUGAAGGAUGAUAUUGCUACCAAUGUUAAGAAUCUCCAACACGGGACAAUAAUAAAUCACCCAAACAGUAAAAAUGUUUACGCGGGAGUCCCAUAGAACUACACCGAUGCUGCUAUGAUGGUUGCUAAUAUCAAAGCAAUUGCUAGAGGUGAUACAUAUGGAGUAAAAGGGUGGAGUGGAAAGGUAUUAAAAAGCAGACCAAAUGAUAAAAUAUUUUUGUUUUUCAGUGGCCAUGGAUGUAACUUCUCGCUUUUGAAACCUUACUUAUUUAGAAAGAUUAUUUAUAUCCCUAUUUUUGGAAACUUAUAUCUGUAUUGUAUUCGUAUUUCACUUCCAGCUUCGUAAUUCGAAAUGUUGGUUCUAAUAAAACUUGACCAUUUUAUAAGGACUA
Long non-coding RNA from Helianthus annuus (common sunflower), 1175 nucleotides. RefSeq lists it as uncharacterized. The transcript is spliced from 3 exons. Lineage: Eukaryota; Viridiplantae; Streptophyta; Magnoliopsida; Asterales; Asteraceae. The record is from RefSeq and is a predicted model, not a curated record.